AGUUCUCUGGGUUUGCAGAAUGAGGGAACAAGAUGUAUUGCAGUGGAUACAGAGCCUGGCAUACAGAGUUCCUUGUGUUUGUGGCUGCAAGUACCGUGGUCCCACCCCUCAUGAUUCUAGUUGGCCUUGUCUGCAGGGCUGAUUCAGUUGGAAACAAUUCCCUGGUAGGCUGGUAACAAAUUCAGGGGACAGGAAUUAUAUGAAGUAAAGCCUCCUCUGGUGGCAGCCAAGGCUCUCUUCUCCAUGCCUUUGAGGAAGGGACUUCCUGUAAGGAUUCCGACUUGUUUGUGUGACACUGACAAAGUGGUUUGUGGCCUGCUCUCACCUUCCUCAGCAGCCGUCCCUGAUCAUCUCCAAACCUCCGGCUCCAGACCUCACGGAUUCUCUUCACAAGCAACCUGCGAGGACACUGGUGACGGGCCACUGCCUUCGGUCCACACCAUGGGGCAUAAUGAUGUAAGUAAACUCUUACAAAGAAGAACAAGAUGCUGGGGUAUUUACCGAAGGAGAUAUAACAACUGGUCUGAACAAGUCAGUUCUGGCAUUCAUCCUUCAUCCCACCAGCAGCAAGAUGGAGAUCUGGCAACAGAUGGCGCUCACAUGAGCACCCGAGUGAGAUAUGCUCCCUAUGCCAUUCCACCAUGUCGUCGGAGAGGCAAUUUUCAGAAACAAGACCAAACCCAAGCUAACAUGAAGGGAGAGCAAAAGCCUCCAGAGAGAAGAAUGGAGCGGGAGAGGCAGGAUGAGACCGUGGGGAAAUGGUUCAAGAUCAUUAUUCCAUUCGGCAUCAAAUAUGAUGAGAAGUGGCUGCUGGAUCUGAUUCAGGGACAAUGCAGUGUCCCCUUCACCCCAGUCGAGUUUCACUAUGAGAGAAUGCAGGCCCAGUUCUUUGUUGAGAAUGCCAACGUUGCCUUUGCAUUGAAGAGUGUCAACGGCAAGAUCUGGGAUGAGGCUAACGAAAGGAUCUCUAUCUUUAUCUACCCCUCUGAUGCACCCCACUCUGUGCACAAGGAGCUGAAGUCAGAAAAGGUGGAGCAGACAAAGCUUUUGUCCUCGAACCCGAGCACCAAGACACCCAGCCAGCUGGAUGGCCUGUCCAACACUAUGCAGAAUGCCGCCAGCAUCGAGAGCUUGAACCUCUCCAACAGUGAGGUGAAGUCUGCAGGGGAGUUGGACGAGGGCAAAAGUCUGCAGCCAGAAGAGAUGAGUACCGAUAGAAGUGCCCUGUGCACCGCCCUCCCUGAUAAAUCAACCAACAUAAGCUCCAUCCUGGAAUUGUUUCCCAAGUUACUAUGCCUGGACAGCCAGGACUCACCUUCACCAACCAGCCUCAGUAUUGCAGCCCACAAGAGGUUACCGACCUGCAAGGGAAGCUUCUUUGGAUCUGAUGCCCUGAAGAGUCUAGUCCUGCAAUUCCUGCAGCAGUACUACUCGAUCUACGACUCUGGAGACCGUCAGGGUCUCCUCGGUGCCUACCACGAUGAGGCCUGCUUCUCCCUGGCCAUUCCCUUCAACCCCGAGGAGUCAGCCCCAAGCAGCCUGUGCAAAUACUUCAAGGAAAGCAGGAAUAUGAAGAAGCUCAAGGACCCCUUCCUGCGUGUUCAGCUGCUGAAGCAUACAAAAUGUGACAUCAUGUGCUCCCUCUGUGUGCUGCCUCAAACUCAGCAUGACCUCAGCUCCUUCAUGGUGGACAUGUGGUUCCAGACGGAGACGAUGCUCUGCUUCUCUGUCAACGGGGUGUUCAAGGAAGUGGAAGGCAUGUCUCAGGAUUCUGUUCGUGCCUUCACCCGGACAUUCAUCGCUACCCCUGUCAGCAGUUACAGUCUAUGCAUCGUGAAUGAUGAUCUGUUUGUGAAGGACGCCAACCCCAAGGAGACCCAGAGCACAUUCUCUAUCCCAGUGCCCACACCCUCCUGCAGCUCCUGGCCCACCCUUUGCCAGAAGCAGCAGGAAAUGGGGCAGACUUUCUCCACCCAGUCUGGGAUGAAUUUCCAGUGGUCUCAGAAGUGAGUGCUGGGGGUGCAUGGGGAUAGGAGGGAGCUGGGAGUAACCAAGAUUGAAUUAUGUCAACUUGCAGGUAACUUCAUGACAGCCAGUGGGACUAUAUUGGUUCUCACAUGGCCCAAGGCCAAGCACAUGAUCCCAGAGGAGACCCUCACUCAGACUCAUCCAGGAUCCCGAGAACACAACCCUGACAAGAAACUGUUUUUGUAGUCAUCUUCAUCAUCUUUGCUGUCUAUUUUCUCUAGCCUGAGUUAAUCUCUGACUGAGCGGGAGGUUUGCUGGGAGCUGGGAAGCCAACGUUUAACUGACACUAAUCUGCUCAAGGACCAACUGCGUAUUUUCUCACCCGGGAUCCCCGAUUCUCUUCUUAAUAAAUAGUGGCAUUGUGUGUUAUGUUGUAUCUCUGCAAAAUCCAUUCAAGGCCUGUAUUUUGAUCACUGGUCUACAGAGAAAGAA
Zalophus californianus (California sea lion) is the source of this 2460-nucleotide RNA transcript. It is a transcript of the gene named nuclear RNA export factor 3, with no coding region annotated. The record is from RefSeq and is a predicted model, not a curated record. The transcript is spliced from 19 exons. NCBI's taxonomy places the organism in Eukaryota, Metazoa, Chordata, Mammalia, Carnivora, Otariidae.